Molecule: transfer RNA, 68 nt
Filed under: Cercopithecus mitis opisthostictus
Lineage: Eukaryota; Metazoa; Chordata; Mammalia; Primates; Cercopithecidae
Description: tRNA-Thr
Rfam family: tRNA
About the family: Transfer RNA (tRNA) molecules are approximately 80 nucleotides in length.
Source: RNAcentral
GCCCUUGUAGUAUAAAUUUAUCACGCUAGCCUUGUAAACUAGAAAUGGAAUUCAUAAUCCCUAGGGCA